CCUUGGAAACGGGUGGUAAUGCUGGAUGCUCCAACUUGACGCAUGUCUUGUUGGGAAAGUGUUUAGUGGCAUGGGAUGGGGUCGCGUCCUAUCAGCUUGUAGGCGGGGUAAUGGCCCACCUAGGCUUCGACGGGUAGCCGGCCUGAGAGGGCGGACGGCCACAUUGGGACUGAGAUACGGCCCAGACUCCUACGGGAGGCAGCAGC
RNAcentral lists this ribosomal RNA (206 nucleotides) under uncultured Gardnerella sp. Its description in RNAcentral is "partial 16S ribosomal RNA". It matches the Rfam family "Bacterial small subunit ribosomal RNA", at positions 148 to 355 of the family's 1533-position model. The record is from RNAcentral. Lineage: Bacteria; Bacillati; Actinomycetota; Actinomycetes; Bifidobacteriales; Bifidobacteriaceae.